GUUUCAGUCUCUGAUAUUUCAAUUUCACCUAAAAAGUCCCUAAACUCUCCAAUUUCACCCAAUUAGUCCUUGCCGUCAAUUAUCCGUCAAAAUCUCCGUUAAAUUGCUGACGUGACAUUUUUUACACUGUGAAAUGUCUAUUAUACCCUCACUCUUUUUUUCUUUUAUAUUUAUUUUUUCCUAUCUUUCUAUUUUCUUUUUCCUCCUCUUCUCAUUCUGAAUCGGUAAGCAGAGCAUUUUUUUUUUUUUAAAACCUUUUCUUCCAGCUCUCCCUUCCUCCUUUAACCAUUGUCAACAACCACCCACCACCACCAUCACAACCCUCAUUCUUCUCGCCGGCGCUUCUGCCCCACCAUCGUGGAUCUCCGGCGGCGGCGAUGAACGCGUAAGAGGCCUGACGGCGACCAGCGAUCGUAGGAAAGCCCAAUCUUACUGUAGACGGUGCCCAAAUUGAAGAGAACGGCGGUCUUCUGAAGAUGGAUGUUCUGUUGCGAGGUAUUCUGCUUGUUCUUGAAGGUGUCGUGCCAGAAGAAGGUGACGGUGUUGAUGUGGUCCUUGUCAAGCGAGACUGGGAAGCGCGUCUCGACGAGGCAGAGGGCUUUGUACUAAUUUUGGAGGAGGUCGCGGCGGGCCGGGAGGGGCGAUCGGGUUGGCGCUCCAAGUCGGAGCGGAGCUGCUUGAGGGUUUAGAGGUUUCAAGGUUCUGGGCUUCGCGCUUGGAGUAAUUGAAGGCGAGGUCGUCUUCCAUUUUUCCCAGCUCCCUGUCCUAGCCCAGAGCGAUCUGGUCCGACCCGAAAGUCAUUAACCCAUACGAGCUCAUGGCGGCCUCGACGCCGAAACCCUCCACCUCUGAUUCAAUCUCCGCUUCACCUUCUCAUAUCUAUCACGAUAUAUUGUUGGAUGCGUCUUUAAGAGUACAUUAGAUACAGUGGUGGGUGUUCUUUUUGUUUCUAUUCAGAUGGCUGUAUCGAAAUCGAGAAUGCCGAUCCAAUGGGCAUUGCUGGUUUUGGUUCUGUUUGUGUACGCCUGUGAUGGGUUUUAUCUUCCUGGAAGCUACAUGCAUACGUAUUCCCAAGGGGAACUAAUCUUUACCAAAGUUAAUUCCUUGACUUC
Rosa rugosa (rugosa rose) is the source of this 1112-nucleotide long non-coding RNA. RefSeq lists it as uncharacterized. NCBI's taxonomy places the organism in Eukaryota, Viridiplantae, Streptophyta, Magnoliopsida, Rosales, Rosaceae. The record is from RefSeq and is a predicted model, not a curated record. The transcript is spliced from 2 exons.